RNAcentral lists this long non-coding RNA (213 nucleotides) under Malus domestica (apple). RNAcentral's name for it is "long non-coding RNA (MDOM_LNC013247)". Lineage: Eukaryota; Viridiplantae; Streptophyta; Magnoliopsida; Rosales; Rosaceae. The record is from RNAcentral.
AUUCCAGAAUAUAAAGAAUAUGAGAAUUGGUGUGUCAGUUGGAGUGGGCGCCAACUAUAGUGUCAAAUUUUGUAAUUUUUGUUUAUUUUAAAUGCGUUUGAGUAUCAUAAUACAUGAUUGACCUAUUUAUAAUCAACAUAAAUAUUGUUGUUAUAUUGUUAACAUUGUAACUUUUUGUUGAUUUUAUACAAAAUCACCCUUUUUUUAAUCUUC